This 295-nucleotide long non-coding RNA is filed under the name Solanum tuberosum (potato). RNAcentral describes it as "long non-coding RNA (STUB_LNC008190)". Lineage: Eukaryota; Viridiplantae; Streptophyta; Magnoliopsida; Solanales; Solanaceae. The record is from RNAcentral.
GGAAAUUCGACUUCAUAUUCUUAUUCGUGGGGUCAAAUUGAGUAGGAAAUGGGUCUAACCCGAAUUUUAGAACAAUCGUAUCAAAAUUCGAAAAUCGCAAAAAAUGUGAUUUUCAGGGUCAACUUUAAAGGGGCAUAUCUCUUAGCACACAAGGAACUGGAAGGGCCGCAAGCUAUUAAAUUAAACCUCUAUGAGUUAGCUUUCCAAUGCACUUGGUUUCACCUCAUUCCGAGUUAGGAUGAGGGAGUUAUGACCAUUUUCGUAAAACCUGUCGGAGCAGAUUUGCAAAUUCCAG